This 497-nucleotide ribosomal RNA is filed under the name uncultured bacterium. RNAcentral describes it as "partial 16S ribosomal RNA". It matches the Rfam family "Bacterial small subunit ribosomal RNA", at positions 28 to 507 of the family's 1533-position model. The record is from RNAcentral.
GAUGAACGCUGGCGGCGUGCCUAAUACAUGCAAGUCGAGCGAACAGACGAGGAGCUUGCUCCUCUGACGUUAGCGGCGGACGGGUGAGUAACACGUGGAUAACCUACCUAUAAGACUGGGAUAACUUCGGGAAACCGGAGCUAAUACCGGAUAAUAUAUUGAACCGCAUGGUUCAAUAGUGAAAGACGGUUUUGCUGUCACUUAUAGAUGGAUCCGCGCCGCAUUAGCUAGUUGGUAAGGUAACGGCUUACCAAGGCAACGAUGCGUAGCCGACCUGAGAGAGUGAUCGGCCACACUGGAACAGAGACACGGUCCAGACUCCUACGGGAGGCAGCAGUAGGGAAUCUUCCGCAAUGGGCGAAAGCCUGACGGAGCAACGCCGCGUGAGUGAUGAAGGUCUUCGGAUCGUAAAACUCUGUUAUUAGGGAAGAACAAAUGUGUAAGUAACUAUGCACGUCUUGACGGUACCUAAUCAGAAAGCCACGGCUAACUACGUG